UGUAAAUCUUCUAUCACCACCAUAAUUUUUCGCAUCAAUGAAGAAGAAGCUAUGAGAGAAGAGAAACGAUUGAAGCUGCCCAAGGGAAUCCCUUGUGCUUUCCCACGGAGUAUACCUUUCACUCGUUUCAACUUUUUAACCCCAAAAUUUUGUCAAGAUUGUAGCCACCUCUGAGUUCUGGGCUGCUCAGGAGGAAACUGUCAGGCCCUAGUGAUUUUGUACCGCUAAUUUGGGACACCGCUGUCUAUACUUCCUCCGUCACCGCCGGAGUCAAAGCUUCAUUAUCCUGUAUUGUUACCCUGGGAUCAAUAGCUCCUCCAGUUAUAUGGGCCAUAUUAAUAGGUCGGCUGCUAGUAGAAAAUUCUUGAAAAUAAGAGAUAACAGUGCUCAAGGGUGGGUCACACACAGUACUAAUUAACUUUAUGUUCGGGCAAUCAAUAGCCACAUGAGAUCAUUGCUAAUCAUUGUUAAAAAAUUUCUGUAUCCAUAACUACUCAAAUCGAAUCGACAGUCGUGUUUAUUUUACAUAGAUCACCUUGUCUGCAGCAACCCAAUAUAUGUUUUAUGUAAAUUUCGGAUGAGCUGAAGAAAUUUAUUUGUUAUAUUUGUUAUAAAAAAAAUAAAAAAAAAUAGAAAUAAGUGCACAUAGUUUCAAACUCCAACAGUUCAAAUGUAUAUAACAUAAUUCCAUUCCAAUUUCUUUCAAAAACACUGAACUUUUCGAUAGUAAAAUGAAGGACAUGAAGUUUGAAAGUGCAAACAACAGUAAAAGACCAAAUACAUACUUAACCACUGAUUAUAUGUCUAGGCGAAACAGAGCUGGGAAUAUGGACAUGUGCAGCAAUCAAGUGUUGUAUCCCAUCAAAUGCAGCGUCCUCAAAAACCAUUCCCAGAAGCAUAAGCAAUCAAUUUCCCACGAAUAAGCAACAAGACUUGCCCAUCCC
This 944-nucleotide long non-coding RNA is filed under the name Prunus persica (peach). RNAcentral's name for it is "long non-coding RNA (PPER_LNC000485)". The record is from RNAcentral. Lineage: Eukaryota; Viridiplantae; Streptophyta; Magnoliopsida; Rosales; Rosaceae.